AUACGGAGGGUGCGAGCGUUAAUCGGAAUCACUGGGCGUAAAGGGCGCGUAGGCGGCUAUGCAAGUCGGAUGUGAAAGCCCACGGCUCAACCGUGGAAUUGCAUCUGAAACUGCAUGGCUUGAGUAUGGGAGAGGAAAGUGGAAUUCCCGGUGUAGAGGUGAAAUUCGUAGAUAUCGGGAGGAACACCAGUAGCGAAGGCGACUUUCUGGCCCAAUACUGACGCUGAGGCGCGAAAGCGUGGGGAGCAAACAGGAUUAGAUACCCUGGUAGUCCACAGCUGUAAACGAUGGGCACUAGGUGUAGGGGGAGUUGACCCCCUCUGUGCCGCAGCUAACGCAUUAAGUGCACCGCCUGGGGAGUACGGCCGCAAGGUUAAA
RNAcentral lists this ribosomal RNA (378 nucleotides) under uncultured bacterium. RNAcentral describes it as "bacterial SSU rRNA". It matches the Rfam family "Bacterial small subunit ribosomal RNA", at positions 523 to 898 of the family's 1533-position model. The record is from RNAcentral.